AUAACCUUUAAUGGAUCUUGGCUAAUCUUAGUUAAGCCAGGUUGCCUAGAUUAGUAGUUGGAAAGGAGACUACCUAGGAAUUCCAGAUUAGGAAAUU
This 97-nucleotide ribosomal RNA is filed under the name Notechis scutatus (mainland tiger snake). The record is from RNAcentral. Lineage: Eukaryota; Metazoa; Chordata; Lepidosauria; Squamata; Elapidae.